This is a long non-coding RNA of Etheostoma spectabile (orangethroat darter), 384 nucleotides long. RefSeq lists it as uncharacterized. Lineage: Eukaryota; Metazoa; Chordata; Actinopteri; Perciformes; Percidae. The transcript is spliced from 4 exons. The record is from RefSeq and is a predicted model, not a curated record.
ACUGGAAACGAUGGCCUUAAAAUAAGGUUUCAACUGCCAUAUUUCUGAGGACCAACAAAGCUAAUUUGUGUUACUAAUAUUUGAAACAAUAAUGUAUUAAAAACAUUAAUGUCUUACAGACCUUAUAUUAUGCUCAUUUUCAGGUUCAUGAUUGUAUUUAGAGGUUAUAUCAGAAUAGGUUUACAUGGUUUAAUUUUCAACAAACACCAUAUUUUGUUGUAAUGCACAUUGCUGCAGCUCCUCUUUUCACCCUGUGUGUUGAGCUCUUUGUUUUGGCUACAGAGUGAGGCAUGUCACUUCUAUCCCAUCUUUGUUGUGAGUCGCAAAUGCGCAGUAGUGAGCUAAGGACUACUAGCCAGGAGCUAGCAGUGCUACGGUUAGCCA